RNAcentral lists this long non-coding RNA (1019 nucleotides) under Equus caballus (horse). RNAcentral's name for it is "lncRNA (ENSECAG00000040161.3)". Lineage: Eukaryota; Metazoa; Chordata; Mammalia; Perissodactyla; Equidae. The record is from RNAcentral.
AUCCCAACGGGAAGGAAGAGGCGCUCAGAGCUAGCGGAGUUGCCCACUCCCAGGGACAUCUGCAGGGGACCCAGCUCAGCAGGCCUCCCGGAGGACUUCUGAUGGGCCAGUCCACCUUACGAUCAGGCUGCAGCCAUCCCAGGGCAGUGCCAGCCACAACCAUCUCCCUCCCGGCAGCUGUGUUCAGGCCUAGCUGAUUGGGAGGGCCCAUUGGCAGCACAGGGCUGCCGGGGGGCGUGGCUGUAGAGCCUAAAAGGCCCCGCCCUGCAGGCCUGCUCCAGCUCUCUCUGUUGCCUGGGGCAGGCUCUCAGGAGCAGCUCCGAGAGUGUGGAGGGAAGAGAAACGAGUUAAGGAAGGAGACAGGGCUCAGGUCAUGAAAGGGAAGUCUCCAGAACAGGGAGAGAGUCCACAGUGGUGUGUCACAAGCACCAAUCCUUGGACCAUUGGGGAAACGGCUUUGCCUGUGAGGAAUAUGUAAGUGAGAAACAACGUUCAGAACCUUCCCUGCUCACCUGAAUGCAUUCAGUGACCGCUCGUUCAGUUCGUCACCCAUCGUUCUUUCAUCUCACAAUCCUCAUUGGGCAGUCCCCCGGCCAGGUGGUGUGCUUGUCACGGUGGACUCAGGACAUGCAGGUCUCUGAAGGUGCUGCAACAUGAAUCCAGGAGAAAACAAAAGAAACAGCCCGGGCCUAAGCAUGUGGACUCAUCCGACCGCAGAGAUGCCAGCAGUUCUGUCAGCUUCCUGAACCCGUGGAUGGUGUCGCUGUUUGUGUUCUGCUUUUUCCAAAUCAUUGGAAAACGCCUGGUCGAGUUCUGAAAGAAAACCAUGUCAGCUCCUCUCCAUUUGCACAAAACUGGAUAUCCUGGAAAUUAUAAUGCAUAUUAAAACUGUGGCAGAUACCUUGUUUUUCUUUGUGCCAAAGAGCCUGCAGUCACGCCAGUGGUGGAGCACUCACUGAAAUCGUUUGAUCGCGUUUCACUACACCAUUGCAUCUGUAAUGGAAACUGUGAAAGGAAAC